This is a long non-coding RNA of Quercus lobata, 314 nucleotides long. RefSeq lists it as uncharacterized. The record is from RefSeq and is a predicted model, not a curated record. Lineage: Eukaryota; Viridiplantae; Streptophyta; Magnoliopsida; Fagales; Fagaceae. The transcript has 4 exons.
CUCUCCCUCACUCGGCAGCUCAUCUCCAGUCACCGGCUCUCCCUCACUCCGCAGCUCAUCUCCAGAUUUGUGUUGGUUAGUGUGGACUGAGGCUGCUUGUGGUUUUGGGAUUCCAAUUAAAUCCAUUCUUUCUUCACAUAAGAUUUGUGUUGGUUAGUGUGGACUGAGGCUGCUUGUGGUUUUGGGAUUCCAAUUAAAUCCAUUCUUUCUUCGCAUAAGAUCCUAAAACGGAGAUGGAAGACACAAACACAGACACAAACAAAUCUGGUUCUUCCUCGCCAAGUGGUUCUCCCUUGAGAACCGGACGUUGUCCC